GGGACUUGAGACCGGCGCACGGGUGCGUAACGCGUAUGCAAUCUACCUUAUACAGGGGAAUAGCCCAGAGAAAUUUGGAUUAAUGCCCCAUAGUGUUAUAGAAUCGCAUGGUUUUAUAACUAAAGUUCCAACGGUAUAAGAUGAGCAUGCGUCCCAUUAGUUAGUUGGUAAGGUAACGGCUUACCAAGACAAUGAUGGGUAGGGGUCCUGAGAGGGAGAUCCCCCACACUGGUACUGAGACACGGACCAGACUCCUACGGGAGGCAGCAGUGAGGAAUAUUGGUCAAUGGGCGCAAGCCUGAACCAGCCAUGCCGCGUGCAGGAAGACGGUCCUAUGGAUUGUAAACUGCUUUUAUACAGGAAGAAACCUCCCUACGUGUAGGGACUUGACGGUACUGUAGGAAUAAGGAUCGGCUAACUCCGUGCCAGCAGCCGCGGUAAUACGGAGGAUCCAAGCGUUAUCCGGAAUCAUUGGGUUUAAAGGGUCCGUAGGCGGCCUUAUAAGUCAGUGGUGAAAUCUCCUAGCUCAACUAGGAAACUGCCAUUGAUACUGUAGGGCUUGAAUUUUUGUGAAGUAACUAGAAUAUGUAGUGUAGCGGUGAAAUGCUUAGAUAUUACAUGGAAUACCAAUUGCGAAGGCAGGUUACUACCAAACGAUUGACGCUGAUGGACGAAAGCGUGGGGAGCGAACAGGAUUAGA
RNAcentral lists this ribosomal RNA (700 nucleotides) under uncultured Bacteroidota bacterium. Its description in RNAcentral is "bacterial SSU rRNA". It matches the Rfam family "Bacterial small subunit ribosomal RNA", at positions 84 to 782 of the family's 1533-position model. The record is from RNAcentral. Lineage: Bacteria; Pseudomonadati; Bacteroidota.